Molecule: ribosomal RNA, 360 nt
Filed under: uncultured bacterium
Lineage: Bacteria
Description: bacterial SSU rRNA
Rfam family: Bacterial small subunit ribosomal RNA
Source: RNAcentral
CGACGAUCAGUAGCUGGUUUGAGAGAACGACCAGCCACACUGGGACUGAGACACGGCCCAGACUCCUACGGGAGGCAGCAGUGGGGAAUUUUGGACAAUGGGGGCAACCCUGAUCCAGCCAUGCCGCGUGCGGGAAGAAGGCCUUCGGGUUGUAAACCGCUUUUGUCAGGGAAGAAAUGGACUUUUCUAAUACAAGAGUUCGAUGACGGUACCUGAAGAAUAAGCACCGGCUAACUACGUGCCAGCAGCCGCGGUAAUACGUAGGGUGCAAGCGUUAAUCGGAAUUACUGGGCGUAAAGCGUGCGCAGGCGGUUCUGCAAGUCAGAUGUGAAAGCCCUGGGCUUAACCUAGGAAUUGCGU